Molecule: ribosomal RNA, 400 nt
Filed under: uncultured bacterium
Lineage: Bacteria
Description: bacterial SSU rRNA
Rfam family: Bacterial small subunit ribosomal RNA
Source: RNAcentral
GAAUAUUGGACAAUGGGCGCAAGCCUGAUCCAGCCAUGCCGCGUGGAUGAUGAAGGCCCUAGGGUUGUAAAGUCCUUUCGGCGGGGCAGAUAAUUACGGUACCCGCAGAAGAAGCCCCGGCUAACUACGUCCCAGCCGCCGCGGUAAUACGAAGGGGGCUAGCGUUGCGCGGAAUCACUGGGCGUUAAGCGCACGUAGGCGGCUUCUUAAGUCAGGGGUGUAAUCCUGGAGCUCAACUCCAGAACUGCCUUUGAUACUGAGGAGCUUGAGUUCGGGAGAGGUGAGUGGAACUGCGAGUGUAGAGGUGAAAUUCGUAGAUAUUCGCAAGAACACCAGUGGCGAAGGCGGCUCACUGGCCCGAUACUGACGCUGAGGUGCGAAAGCGUGGGGAGCAAACAGG